CCCUUAACUAUUAAAAGUUUCGUUUUGGUCCCUUAACUUAUUUUUUGGUUUCGUUUUGGUCCCUUAACUUUUUUUUUUUUAUUUCGUUUUGGUCCUUAACUCUAAUACAUUCAUCCUAACAUAAAGGACCAAAGUGGUUGACGGAGGAAGAGUUAAGGGACCAAAACGAAACCAAAAAAUAAGUUAAGGGACCAAAACGAAACCAAAAAAUAAGUUAAGGGACCAAAACGAAACUUUUAAUAGUUAAGGGA
This 251-nucleotide microRNA precursor is filed under the name Medicago truncatula (barrel medic). Its description in RNAcentral is "MIR2655 microRNA precursor family". It matches the Rfam family "MIR2655 microRNA precursor family". Lineage: Eukaryota; Viridiplantae; Streptophyta; Magnoliopsida; Fabales; Fabaceae. The record is from Rfam by way of RNAcentral.